AUCCCCAAAUAUUACUUUUUGCUUUAUAGCAAUGUAGUUACCCAACAUACUUUUUGCUUUUUUACUUUUACUUAAUAGCAAAAAUCAAAAAAAUAAAAAGUACUUUUUAAAAAUCAAAAAUCAAAAAGUAUAAUCAAAUGCACCCUUAAUAAAUUGAAAAAUUGUUUAAUAAAGUGGGAUCUCCUAUAAGGUAAUUUAGUCCUUUCACACAUGCCAUUAUUGAUGUUAG
RNAcentral lists this long non-coding RNA (229 nucleotides) under Elaeis guineensis (African oil palm). RNAcentral's name for it is "long non-coding RNA (EGUI_LNC003617)". The record is from RNAcentral. Lineage: Eukaryota; Viridiplantae; Streptophyta; Magnoliopsida; Arecales; Arecaceae.